Molecule: long non-coding RNA, 102 nt
Organism: Dermochelys coriacea (leatherback sea turtle)
Lineage: Eukaryota; Metazoa; Chordata; Testudines; Dermochelyidae
Exons: 3
Source: RefSeq, a predicted model, not a curated record
UGAAGGGAAGAAGAAAGAAAUAAGAUGUCUGUACACCAAUGCAGGGAGCCUUGGUAACAAAAUAGAGGAACUAGAACUACUGGUGAAGGAAGUAAAACCAGA